AAAAAAAAAGAAAGAAAAGGGUGGAGAUGCAAACAUCCCUAUAGCUAAAAGCUAUGGAAAACUAUCAUUUCAGCUAGUUUUUUAGAUGAUUAAAAAUGUAGACUUAUAGUCUCUUUUAACAGAUUCCUAAGCUAAUUAAAUUAAGUUUGCCAUAGUGAAUUCCAUUAGAAAAAAAAUUCAUUCAUUGUGUUGAAUUUAUUGUCGAUUUGAAAUAGAGAUAAUACACAUUUUAUAAAAAUUAUAGACACUCUUUUUUUUUAACUAACUUUUAGAACGAAUUAGAUUUAAUUUAAAUUUAAUGUAGUAUUAGAGUUUUGUAUUGGAUCUCUCGUAAAUAUUUCACGAUCUUUUUUCUAAUUUUUUUGAUGAAGUGUGGAAGCUUACCUAACAUUUACAAUGACUUGUAUUUAACUAUAUGUCACCUAAAUCAACUAUAUUCUAACCAUUUAAUAUUGCUAUUAGUCCCAUCUUGGGAGACUAUUGUGAUGUUUGUAGUAUAUGAUGGAAAUCUUACCAAACUUCACUUUGAUCAUAAUUUUGAUUGUUUAGCAUUCAUUGUAAUAUGGAUGGUAAAGAAUUUAAUUCUCUUAUUAUUUGAUUUUAUUCUUUUUUGCAUUAAAAUAAUAGAUUAAUUAUUAAUAAAAUUUUAACUUAAUGAUAUGGAACUCACUUUCAAAACGGUAAACUCUUAGUUUGAAGUCAAAUUAAUUGUAUAAAAUAAUAAGUUUAUUUGAGUAAAUUUGAUAGAUCUUAAAUUUUACUCCCAUCCCUAUUUCAAAAGAAAAAAAAAAGGUAAUUUAUCAAUAAGCGAGUCAAAACAAAUUCAAAUAUUUUAUAUUGUAAAACUUAAAAUUAAUAAUGUGUUUUCUAUUAUAAACACAUUAUUAAACUUUGAUCACAUAUUUAAUUAUUUAAAAAAAUGACUAACUAAUAUAUAUUUUACACGAGUUUUCUUAAAAAUUUUAUAUUUAAAUUCUGAAUAUAAAAUAUUUUUAAAAUUUAAAAGAAAAUACUUUAUUUCUUAAUUGACAUGUUUAAUGAGAUUAAUACACAAUAUAUGUAUGAAUAUAUAUAUAUACAUAAACCUGGUAAGAGUUAACAUGUCAAUUUCAGUUUAGGACAAUUUGGUGAUUUAAAUAGAAAUAACAGAGUUGGUGUUUUAUGCAACUUAAAUGGUUAUGAAUACUUCCUUUUCUGGAAAAUUUUCAAAUUGUUUUUAAAGAAAAGAAAAUAUUAGUUAGUAUAUCAAUAAAUAUUUGAUGGGAUUUGGAAAAAUAUAUAAUAGAUGAAAUUCCCGACAAUAAUUAAGCAUGUCUUGUCUAGUCCCCACAAAAAAAAAACUUUAUACUCUAUUAAUUAGAAUUUUAAUUUAAGAAAAAGUAUAUUGUUAUUUUUUUAAUUAAUAUUUUAUAUCAUUAUAAUUUCGUCCUUUUAAGUUGUUAACAGAAUGUUUCUAAGAUAAUAUAUUUAAUUUUAUAUAAUAAUAUUUUAAUAAAAUCAAAUUAUAUCUUAAUAGAUAUCAUACAUUUAUAAAAUUAUCUCUAUUAGUUUUUAAAAUUAUCUUUAAAAAAUAUGCAUCAAAAUAUUACAAGUUGCAUUUGAUGUGAAUAUUAAAAAUAGAAAAAUUAUUAUUUUAUUUUUAUGAUAUAAAAAAUUUAUAAAUUGAUCCUUCAAUUUUAAAAAAUAUAUUAAUAGGUCCUUGAAAAUUAAUUAAGAAAGAAGAAAUGGGGAUGACAUUGCAUGCAUGAAUGUAAAUAACUAUUUGACUAAAUAACUAUUCUUUGAUUUGUAAAUCCACUAGUCAACCUAAUUCAUUAUUAUACCUAAAUAAAGAUUGUCAACAAUCUCCCUUGAUAUCUCCAUUCUCUUAAUCAUCAUCAUAACAUUUCUAUCAACAUCCUCUUACCAUUAAUUUUCUUUCUGGAUUUUCCUUUAAUUACAAUUCUUAAUCUAUGUGUAUAUAUAUAUAUACAAACAUCUUGUUUUAUUUUACAAUCUAGUCCUCACACUUUAUAUAUUCCAAUAAUUUAGUCUCUAAUUAGUGCCUAAAAAAUAAUACAAUGGUGGUGAUUUAACAAUAUUUUUCACAGGAAGGACAACUUUAUAAACUUUUAAAAUUACAAGGACUAAAUAGUUAAUUUUUAAAAAUAUAAAAACUGAUGAUUACCGGGUUUUCUUUACCUGGAGAUGAGGUCGAGGCUGAAUGAAGAAUAUAGAUCCAAAACUCAUCAGAUCUUCCUCAGCCCAUGAUGAGCGUCUUAGUCCAGUCAGGAGAGUCAGGUCGAGAUACCUCACACGCAGGCCCACCCGAAGGAUGCCUAAUCCAAUAACAUGACAUGAGGAAAGAGAGCAGAUCAAGUCACCUCGCAGCUCUGUUCGCAUGUGCAUCGUGGAAUUAAAUGGCCGCCUGACGUGGAGAANNNNNNNNNNNNNNNNNNNNNNNNNNNNNNNNNNNNNNNNNNNNNNNNNNNNNNNNNNNNNNNNNNNNNNNNNNNNNNNNNNNNNNNNNNNNNNNNNNNNNNNNNNNNNNNNNNNNNNNNNNNNNNNNNNNNNNNNNNNNNNNNNNNNNNNNNNNNNNNNNNNNNNNNNNNNNNNNNNNNNNNNNNNNNNNNNNNNNNNNNNNNNNNNNNNNNNNNNNNNNNNNNNNNNNNNNNNNNNNNNNNNNNNNNNNNNNNNNNNNNNNNNNNNNNNNNNNNNNNNNNNNNNNNNNNNNNNNNNNNNNNNNNNNNNNNNNNNNNNNNNNNNNNNNNNNNNNNNNNNNNNNNNNNNNNNNNNNNNNNNNNNNNNNNNNNNNNNNNNNNNNNNNNNNNNNNNNNNNNNNNNNNNNNNNNNNNNNNNNNNNNNNNNNNNNNNNNNNNNNNNNNNNNNNNNNNNNNNNNNNNNNNNNNNNNNNNNNNNNNNNNNNNNNNNNNNNNNNNNNNNNNNNNNNNNNNNNNNNNNNNNNNNNNNNNNNNNNNNNNNNNNNNNNNNNNNNNNNNNNNNNNNNNNNNNNNNNNNNNNNNNNNNNNNNNNNNNNNNNNNNNNNNNNNNNNNNNNNNNNNNNNNNNNNNNNNNNNNNNNNNNNNNNNNNNNNUUGUAUGUAAAUGAAAACAAAAUCGAGCUCAGAAUGAAUGAAAAAUGAGCUAAAUGCCUGCAAUUAAAGAAAUGGACAAGGAUGGAAAUUAAUUCACAUUUCUGGUCUGGAAAAUCUAGAGGCAAUACGGACAAGCAAUAUGAGAUGGUAACUUUGUAAACUUUACAUGGCCAUUCCAGGAUGUCUCCAUUUCUACCAUUACGUAUAUAAUUCAGGAAAACAAAGACUAAUAUAUCCAUCUGAAAAAAAGAGAACACAACCAAGAAAUAUAAAGAGACAACAAUGUGACGACAAAGAAAAACCAGAAUAGAAAAACAUCAAAUGGGUAUACAUGUAAGGAAACAGAAGGUCCUCAUGAGUUAUAAUCAAAAGCCUCGUCACACAGUAAAACUCUCUCUCUCUCUUUGUGUCUGAAAAGUCCCAGUCCCAUGUCCUAUUAUUUAUAUAUUAAGAAAUCUUAUCCAAUACACCCACGUACGUAUUAACAUGUUAUUUUAAUUUUUAAUUGGUUGAAUAUACCACUAAUAAUAAAUUCGGGUGUUUCAGAUAAUUUUUCGUAAAAUAGUAGUAUAUAAUCCUGCACAGAUGGAGCACAGCAUUUAUUACCACAUCAAUUAACAUUUCACCUUCCUCUUCCUAUUAAAAACCCAACCUCCUCCUUUCUUCAUAAAGAGGAAAUUCUCACUUCAUAUAAUUCCCCGCAUGGAGCCUCUAAGCUCAGAGGUAUGCCUCUCUGAAACUUCUUCAAGCAUCGUCUCAGUUUCAAAUGCUCCUUCAAAAUUCUCUCUGAAUGUCUCAAUGGACAACCCAAAAGGGAGAAAACAAUUACAAGAAGAAGAAGAAGAAGAAGAAGAGGAAAGAGAAAACAAGAACGAAGACACCAGUGAUCGUGAUCUUGUAUUGGAUCUAAGCCUCCUUUCCGGCAAAGAUUCCAAGCCAGAACUGAUCAAUCUCAUCGAUUCUUUUGACAUGGAAUCAUCGCAGAAGUCAUCCUUGGAUACUCCUCAAGGUAAUGAAAUCGAGCCUCGAGUAUUCUCAUGCAACUAUUGUCAAAGAAAAUUCUAUAGCUCACAGGCACUUGGGGGUCACCAAAACGCACAUAAACGAGAAAGAACACUAGCUAAACGAGGACAAAGAAUCAAUGGAGGAGGCUCUUUUUCUCUUGGUCAUCACCAUAACUCGCAAAUAAAUCGAUACACUAGCAUGGCCUCUCUCCCUCUGCAUGGCUUAUUAAAUAGAUCACUUGGAAUUCAGGUGCACUCCAUGAUCCACAAGCCGAGUUUUGUACCAUCUUCCACUCUUAGUUCUUCAAAUGUUCAUGGGAAAAAUGGAUGGUCUAGGCAACCUAUUGGUCAGCAACCGGCAGUUGGGAGGCUGCCAUCGGAAAGCUUUCAUAUGGGAACAAGAAUCGGAUCAUCUAAUGGGGUUGCAAGAUUUGAAAGUGCAGGAAAAUUUUCCCCAGCUGGGGAAAGAAUGGGUGGAUACUGGUGUGAUUCUGGUGUUAACCAUUUGAAGACUAAGCAAGAUGAUUUGCAAAAGCUUGACCUUUCACUCAAGCUCUAAUAUAAGUACCUCCUCUUCUUUCUAUUUUACAGUUCAAUCUCUAUCUUCUCUUCUUCUUCUUUGACUUUGUUUUGUUCUUGGCUACUAUAGAAUUUUUCAUAUAUAUUUUGUAGCUGGAUCUGCUGUAAAUCUUGUUCUUUUGGCUACAGAACACCAUGACUCUAUGGAUUUAGCAAGUAAAAGUUGGCUUCACAUUCAUGGAAAAUCAUUUCAGAAUUCAAAUUUGGAUCAUAAAAUCAAAAUAGAUAUUUUAAAUAUUAUAGAGAAAGAGCUAUGGAUGAUUUNNNNNNNNNNNNNNNNNNNNNNNNNNNNNNNUUUGGUUAUUUGAUAUGCUGAUGCUUUUGUGCAUAGUGCACCCAGAAAUCAACCUUGGGGAUCUUUCAUUGGUGGGGUUCUCUGUGUGUAGGAUAAUUUGGAUGCUAGUGGGUGUCAUUUCAAUUCUAUUUUUUCUUUGUAGUUUUAUAUUACGUACAAAAUGGUCCACUCCAUGUAUAAAAGUUUGGGAUAGAUACUAGAGAUGGUCCACUAAAUGUUAUUCAAAAUGGACGGCUGUGAUCAUCUUAAUGGCUCUUAUCUUUGACCCACUAGCAGUUGAAAAAAUAGACCAUCUCUAUUUGGAAGGUGUGGUAAGAAGAAGAAUUGAAAGAGGUUGGUAUAUCUAGCCAUGUGAAAAUUAGUCCACAUCAUGGCCCCUCACGCCUCAGCUAUGCAAUCCACAUCAUUGAUUUUACAUACAAUUACAGAAAUCACUGAUUCAUAUUAAAUUAUAUUUUUUAUAAAAUUUAUGGAUUAAUUAAAAUUUUAGAUAAAUAUUUAUUUUAUUUAUAAUAAUUAAUAUUCAACCUCAUUUUAAAAAAAUAGCAAACUAUUUAAUAUAUAUAUAUAUAUAUUUUAAUAUUAUACUGUAGUUAAAUCUUGAUAUCUUACCUAAGAGAUCUCAUAAAUGAGGUCCAUAGUGGGUCCAAAUCAAAUUGAUGUAUACAGCUAAGAUCAUGUUAAACAUCAUAUUACAAACUUAAUCUUUCCUAGAAUUAAGACAUUAACGGAAAACCUUGAUUAUUAUGACAGUUAAUCCAUAUAGAAACCCUCCAAUUAACAAAGCAAGUGAUAGGGUGACAGGAGUAUCACACAAGUUUUGACAAUUGGAAUAGGACAUUUGGUGGGGUUUUGCCACGUGUUGAAAUUCAGUUCGGCUGUCAAUUUCUUGUGUUAGACUGGCUUUAUCCCUCUUGUAUAUUUUUGGCAUUUUAAAAAUUGGCAACCCUAUGAUUUUGCCUCUCAUUUAAGAAACAUUUUCAAGAAAAAGUUAGAAAGUGAUGCAUGAAAAAUGUAUGGUUAUGAUUAUGCUGUGUUCAGUUUAGGUGAAAAAAAUUUAAGCAAGAAUUAGUCUUUCCACUUCGACACACACCGAUUCAUGUGAUUAAAUAUGAAAUUUAUUUUUAUUUUAAUUUAUACCUAAUUCUCUUAGGUAUUAUAAUUACUUUUGCAUAUUUAAAUUUAUAAAUAAUAAUUUUUAUAAUUCUUUUAAGAUUGAUUAACACUAGACUUACACCCAAAUUGAGUUCGAAUCUCAAAGAAAGAGACAAAGAGACAGAUCUAAAACUAUUAGAGUCUAUCAAAUUGGCCGAUUAUCAACACACCAUUCAACCCGCGACUAAAGCAGGUCAGAUUAAUCGAAGGUCUGAACCUAUUAGAAGUGAGAUUGGUUUAUUGAUGUGACGGAAAGUAUAAGAGUAAGCCCAGCUACAUUGCAACUCUAUCAGCACGAGCGCUGAUAGCAAAUUAAAUGACCGUCUGACGAUGAUGUACAUGUAUAUACAUUCGUACAUACGGUUCUACAUGACAAAGACAGUAGCACUGUAAUACAAGCAGUUAUGCAUUACUAGAGAAUAAGGGAAAAAUAAAUAAAAAAGAAGAGUGUGACCCUCCACACUAAACUUUUCUAAAACCCUACUUCUCUUAAAUUUCAAAACAUUAAAAAUAAUAUUAGAGUAAUUAUUUGAUCAUAUUAUAGUAAUUAUGUGCCAUCUUUCAUUAAGUAAAAUCCAAAUCCAUCUUCCAUAAUACACAAGAAAUAUGUAGCUAUCAUAGUAUUGAGGACUUGGGGGUAGGUGAGACAUUAAAGCAGGAAAUGGUCUUCACUCCUAAGAUCUUAUGAUAAUUAAAAGGAGAUUGAUCAUCUUUAUUUUAUUUGAAAAAUUAAUAGUAAAGAUUUCUUUUUCAAAAAAAAUUGAAUUUUUAUCUUUCUGGGACCAGAGAUUGAUCUUUGAAAUAUUUUAUAAUACCAAAGCAAACAUAUAUGAAAUAUUUGUGUUCUACUAUUUUUGGAUUAUUAUAAUUGUUGUUUUUCUUUCCUUUUCUUUAUGGAGGAUAGUGAAGGGAAAAGGAAUGGACACCAAAGAGCUACUAGAAGACCAUCAUCAUCUCUCUCUUGCUAUAAAUCCUACUAUUUUUUUUAUAAAUCAACUAUAAUUUUUAAUUAUAUCCAAAUUUUAGAUUGAAUGACCAAAUGCAUACAAGAAAAUUCAGUCGUUGUUUGAACCCAGAUGAGUAAACAAUGGCAUGAAUCUGGAUGAUCCAAACAACUUUUUCAACUCAGAGGCCCUUCAAUUAGUCUCGGCAUGGAAUAUGGAUCUCCUCUCCAAAUGUAGUCAAAUUUUUUAUAGGUAGACUAAUUGACAUCUUCGUUUAAAGUUUCAGUAACCAAUACUCGGGAGUUGAUGAAUCACAAGAAGCAAACAAUCUCUACUCUCAUCAAUGUAAGAUUUGAUGGUAUCCAUCCACUUAUUUCUAAUUAGUUCUUCCUUUGUUCUUCGUAUUUUCAUGCAAGAGAGCUGGCCUUUCAUCGUUUAUACCCCUUGUAUCCAAGAAUUGAUAGAAUUUUCUUAUAAUGAAGCUUGCAGUUCAUCAUUCAAUACACUGUAAACAAUUAAAAAUCAGAAAGGUAGCAGGCACAAAAACAAAACGACAGAAGAAAGCAACAUAUUAUCAAAAAAAAAAACCAUAUGCAGCCAUUUGGAUGCUCAUAAAAUAUAACCAAAACUUAAAAAUCCGAAAUGCUGCUCUCUGGCUAGGGAAAAAAAAGGUUAGAUUCAUUUAGCAGAGUUUCCAUUUUUUUCAUGCAAAUAACAUCUCAAGCAUUUCUCCUUUUAUUUCAGUUUUCCCAGUAAAUUAAAUGGCACAUCUAAAAUAAAUCAGUAAAUUAUCAUACUUGAAGUCAGGACAUCUUCUCGUUCUCGCUUGUGCCUGUCAAAAGCUUUGCAAUUUCAAUGGAAUUUGACCAAGUUUAGUACAUGAUCUCUAAGGAACCGUCAUUACCCUUAGAGAUACUAACAAUGAAAGUAAUGUGAAACUGCAUAUUGACAUUACUGUAUCACUAGAUAUUGGACUUGGAAUUCUUCCAUCAAACAAUGUUGCUUCUACCUUAAUCUUCUCAUUCCUUGCAAAUUUCUUUUUUAACAAAAUUCAUUAAUUCCCCGGCUGGUCAUUGAUCUUGGUAGCAAGUUCAAAUCAUUGAAUGUGACAUGCAUUAUGCCAGAAUCAUUAGUCAACUUAACCAAUUGGCCCUUUUAAACAUUUGAAAAUGCAUUCUCUCAAACAAACAAGCUAUAAUAGCUGGGAAAGAAAAAGGCUGGAAAAUAAUAUCAAGAUUGGAAAUUUCAGCUCAAAUCAGCAAUGCCAUUUAAUUCCAUCACGAGUCAAGGAAUCUUGAUUUCAACAGCAAUUAAUUUUUUUAUCCAAUUUAAGUGCUUUUAUAAUCACAAUCCCAGGAACAAAAUAGAGGGACAUUUUUUAUAAGCAUAAAAAAUUUUAUUAAUAGAAAUCCAAGAAAAACUUAACAUAUAGAGUCCACCUAAACCCGGCAUUCAAACGUCUCCAGACACACAACCUAGCACAAUGUAUGUUACAUGAAAAGACCUGGAGACCAGCAGAAACAUCAGAAGAUGACCAACAUAACCCAGCAAACCCAAAGCAAAAUAGAGGGACGGCUCCCAGUUAACAUUAAUACUACUGAAAUAAAAUGGUCUAACAAUCCUAUUAAGCCUUUACCAGAGAGCUCUUCCUACGCAAUUUUUCACUAUACAGCAUUUGUAGUUUGCUUCUGAUUCCAACCAACAUUGUGAUUCUUAAAUAAUGCAAACCCAGAAGCAGACUUAGAAUUCAAUGAAAACCCAUCUAAAAAAAUUUGGAUUUUAAAAAUUCAGCUCUCGAUCUCAUUCUUUCCAAUUGUUCUCAUCCACCACAGAUUAAGGAAAAAGAAAAAUUAAAUUCAAAACAUGCGGAGAUGAAUGAGGCCUUUAAAAGAAAGAAGGAAGAUUACUUGUUUUAGGAGUAUCACAUUGGAGCUCGUAUUGGAAGGAGUCUGAGGAUACUAUAUUCAAAGGCGGAUUUGGGCAUUGCUGAUACGUAACACAUUUCUGACUAGCGUUGUUCAGAACUUCAGUGGACUUCAGUAGGGUUUUAGGAUAUCCGGGCGCGGAAUGAAGUCAAAACGUUCAGUCGUUUUAGGGAAUUUAUACAGUAUGAACCCUCCAGCAGUCUGUUUAUUACAUAAUUUUUGGAUGAUGAUACUUUGGAUCCCAUACUGGAAAAUGUGAGGGCCAGCGUGUAGGAUCAUACAAUAAAGAUAAUGUCCUAUGUGCUUAAGCCACAGCUAGGCCAAUACUAGGUUGGAGUGAAUAUUAAAAUUGAGCAACAAGAUUAGACCAACUUACCAACUUUAGCUAAACCCUAAGAGAGGGUGUUUAAAAUUUGGUAAACAUUAGGGUAAUGAUGAGGAAUAUAUAGGCACUUGAAUAUGAACAAUGACUUUGCAGACUAAGCAUACUCUUUACCGCUGCUCUGAGAUGUUAGUUCAGAGGUUUCUCCAGGGUGAAAAAUCUGAAGUGAAGUGCAAGAUAGGCAAUUUGAAACCAUCACUCACAGCUUAAGCAUCAAGCAAUUUCAAGCAUCUAAUAUCUGCACUCUGUUGAAAACAUGGCCAACUCCUCUUUCCUCUUUCUACAGGAUUCACAUAUGAGGAGGCUUUUCUUCAAUUUUCAGUGUCUUCAGUAGUUCUCCAAUUUUGGGUCUUCCCCUUUAUUAUUGCUCGGAAAAUGUAACAAAAUUCAGUCAAUUCGAUUUAAAAUUAAAUUAAAUAAAAAUUACAUAUUUCAGACUCGAUAAAAUUCAUACAAAAUAUAAAAUUUAUCUGCUUAUAAAGGAAAGAGUGAGUUGAGAAAAAAUAUAAAUUCAUAUUAUGGUUUCUUUUCUAAUUUUUUUAAAUAUAAGUUUACGUUGAUAUUUUAUUUAUUUCUAUUUAAAUCAACUUACAUUUAUUUAUUUAUUUUUUAUAACACAAUUAAUUAUUUUGACAUAAUCUAUAUAAAUAAAAAAAUAUUGGCCUUCUUAUGAAGGGGUUGAUUUCAUCCGGGGAGAGAGAAUGUAUAGGAAACAACCUUUUUUUAGUAUUAUGAUAAAAAUAGGUUGAAUUUACAUUUUUUUUUAUUAUAAAAUGAGUAAUUCUUAUACAUAUUCAAGUAUGUAAAUUCCCCCAAUUUAAAAAUGACAUAUUAAUCAAAAUUGAAUUUUGAUUUGAAAAAUAAUGUAAGAGAAAUUUUGAAGUAAUAAUUAUUUGGAAUCACUGUUGGGAAACUGCUUAUGAUAUUUUGGGUUGAAAACCAAUAUAUUGGACUGUGUUUAAUUUUACUGUCUAUUAUGAUUGGUGUACAUGGGGAUGGUUAAGAGGCCCAGGAAAUAUCCUAAUUUGCUAACAUUUACUGAAUUAUUAAUUGAUUUAUGCUCUUUUAUCUUUUAUUUAUUUAUAUUCAAAUGAACCAAAAGUAUAAUGGUAGUAAUUAAUAGAUUGUAUAUCGAGACUUUGAGCAAUUAAUUUUAAAUUUUAUAAUAGAUUUGAAUUUAAAUUUAAUUUUUACUAUCGUUAUUCGAUGGAAAUUCAUAAUAACUUUUUGAGAAGAGAAUUUUAAAACGUACGACUUUUCAAAGUGUGAUAAGAAUUAAAAGUUUAUCAUAAAAUUCGAGACGAAAAUUCGAUGAAUAUAAAAUUUUAUUAAUUUCUUAUAUUUUAAUGUGUUGAAUAAGAGAACUUUUUCAUAGAAACCCAUUAAUCCCAACUCAGAAGAACUAAUCACAACACUGUAGCAAAAGAUGUCAUAUUUCUUUAUUAAUGGAUACUUGGAUCUACAUUGCAUUUGAGCCCACCUACUCCUGGUGGCAUCCAACUGGUAUUUUCAUUUCUAUUCUGAUUAGGCAGCCUCCUAGGCACAAGAUGAACAUUCUUCUAUCCGCUGAGAACUUUAAGACUCGAGGCAACCAUUUUUGCUAACCUAUAUUGAUUAUGAUGCUAAAGGAAUCGAUUCUUUCUUGUCCAUACAUUCCAAGCUACUGCAUAGACUUGCUUCGUCAGACGACAAACAGCAUUAUGCCACAAAGAGUAGAAGAAAUCAGCACAAUUCAAGAAAGUACCAUCUCCAACAAAAAGGCUUAACUUAGUCCAAAAAUCGCAUGCAUAUGAGCACUGAGCAAAAACAUGGACAUCAUUCUCCUCCAAGCCACAGUGGAUAUAUUCCGUAUCAAUCUCAACUAUAUUACUCUUUAAAUGAGCUACCAUAUUAUCUGAUUACAUAUCUAUAUCAUACGUAAUUCAUCUUUUCGAAUUACCACCCUUAAAGAUAUAUAAAAAAAAUUUUAUAACAUCAUUUUGGAACCGAAUUAAUCUCAACUAUAUUACUCUUUAAACAAGCUACUAUAUUAUCUGAUUACAUAUUCACGUCAUACGUAAUUCAUCUUUUCGAAUUACCACCCUUAAAGAUAUAUAAAAAAAAAUUUAAAACAUCAUUUUGGAAAAGUGUUUGUUUAGUAAAUACAAAUUUUUUUUUUUGCAUAUUAUAUGUUAUAUAAUUUGAAUGAAACUAUAAAUUUAUAUUAAUAUUUUUUUUAUAUGUAUAACUAAUGUCAUUUGAUACAAAAUAUAAUAUAUCGAUCUAUUUUUUAUUAUUGUAUUUUACUUAUAAUGAAUAAAAUAAUCUCUUCUCUAAAAAUAUUCAGAAAGACAAGACUAUGGCCGAGUAGUAUUUGGUUUAAAUUGAAAGACCGAUUAAAUUUAAUUAAUUUAGAAAUUCAAUUUAAUUUUUUUUUAUUUUUUUGGUUCGGUUUAUUUUUAUUUUUUAAAAUUUUAAUUAGAUUCAAUUUUUAUUAAAAUUUUAAUUAAUAAAAAAUCGAUAAAAAUCAAAUCAAAUUAAAUAGUGAAUAAUAAUGUAUUAUUUUUUAUAAUAUAGGCAGAUUAGACUAUUAUUAAAAUUAAAAUAUUUUAAUUAAUUUUAAGAACCUUAAAAAUAAGGAAAUAAUUUAUUAAAAAGCCAUAUUAAAUUAAAUCAAAUCGAAUCAGAUUAGUUUAAUUCAAAUCAAUUUCUAUUCAAAUUUAAUUCGAUUCGAUUUAUAUAAAUAUUAAAAUUUUAAUUUUUAAUUUAUUUUAUUAAAUUUAAUUUUAAACAAAAAUUGACCGAAUCAUCAUCGUUGAACAUGACAACCGAGUCACUUAAUGGCAGAUAAAAGAUAAAAGUAAUAAGUCAAGCUUUUUCUUUUUUAAAAUAAUAAGUCAAGCUAUUAAAAUGUAAUAUGUUUUCCAAUUUAGAAAAGAAUGGUAUGUUUUUUAUCUAAAAAAAAUACAUAAUGGACUUAUUUUAUAUUAAUAUAUAAUAUUAUAAAUAGAUAGAUUCCAUUUCAUGCCACCUGGCAAGCAAUAAUUUGGAAAAAAAAAAAUUCUCAACAGAAUGUUUCAUGCUAGAUAUAUUUUUAAUUUAAUGAUUUUUUUCAAUGAAGUGUCAAAAUUGUUUGAAAAGAGAAAUUAUCUAAAAAAGAGCUAAUAUUAUCCACUCACUCUUAAGUAUAAAAUUCUGUGAAGUAUUGAAAAAAUUAUUUUUUUAAAAUUAUGAUAUGAAAAAUUUUAUUAAUUAAUUUUUUAAAUUUAAAAAAUAUAUUAAAAUAUUUUUAAUAUUUUAAAAAAUUUAUUAAUUAGUUUAUCUCUUAAUUUUAAGAAUUAAAUAUUUAGUUAUUUAAUUUUUAUAAUUUUAAAAAAUUAUUAAUUGUUUUGAUAGGGGUUAUAUUCGGUUCAGUUUGAAAUCAAAAAAAAUAAAAAUAAAAUUUUAGUAUUUAUGAAAAUCAAAUCGAAUUUAUUUUGGAUAGAAAUCAAAUCGAAUCAUAUUGAUUUAAUUCAAUUUGAUUUGAUCGAUCGGUUUGUCUUUUUUAAUAUUUUUUAUUUUUAAAUAUUUUAAAAUUUAAUUAAAAUAUUUCAACCUUAAUUAUGGUAUAAUCUCUAUAUUAUUAAAAAUAAUACAUUAUUAUUAUUAAUCAUUUCAGUUCAGUUGGGUUCGUUUUUUUUAUUUUUUUAUUAAAAUUAAAUUCAACUGAAAUAAUUAAAAUUUUUAAAAUUAAAAAUCAAAUCUAAAUGAGUAAAAAUUAAUCUGAAUUAAUUUAAUUUAGUCAAUUUUUUAAAUUUAAAUUGAAUGGGACUUUCUCUCAUUUUGAAUUUCUAAAAAAUUUAUUAAUUACUUUUUUUUUAAAAAAAUAUUUUAAUUUUUUUUAUAAUACUUAACUAUUAAAUUAAUAGAAAAUUUAAUUAAUAAAUUUUUAAAAAUAUUCAUUAUAAACUUUCAAAAUAGUUGUUUUUUUUAAAAAAAAAACUUUCAAAAUAGAGAUACUAACUUCUUUGAAGUAGUAAAUUUCCAUAUAUAUAUAAUUGAGAAGCUGGUUUUCACAAUCCUCUAAAAUGACUUUGACAUUAACAAUUGGCAUAUGGCUUUUUUCAUAAGACAAUAAAAUAGAAUUGACAUUCUUUUUCUUAAAAAAGUUUGAAAAGCCUAUUUCCUUUUCCAUGAUAAUUGCUCCAUUAUAUUCUCACCACCAUAACCCAUCUAUGAUCUAUCCAACACAUACCAAAACCUUUGGAAAAAAAAAAAAACCAUUAAAAUAAAUGAUGUAAUAUAUAUUUUAAAAUAUAAAAAAUAAUAUUUAAUUUCUCUCAAAAAUACUCGGAUGUAUAUAAAUUUGAAAAACACUAAAUAAUUUUUUCUAUAAAAUAUCAAAAAUAUUUUGAUGAAGUUUAUUUAAAUCUUUAAAUUUUGAGUAUUAAAAAUAUUAUUUAUUAAAAUUUGAAAUAAAAUUAUAAUCAAUUAAGAAUUUAUUCUUAAUUUUAAAUAUGAUUUUAAAAAAAAUAGAUAAAAAGUAAUAUAAAGUUAUUUAUUAAAAUUAUAUAUAUAUAUAUAUAUAUAUAUAUAUAAUUUGCGUGGUGAACGUAUAAAAAAAACUAGUUUAAAUUUUGUAAUUUUGAUGCAAAUAAUUUAUUUUUUAUUAAAUUAAAAUAUAUAAAUCAAAAUAAUUAUUUAAUAAAAAAAGUUUAUAAAUACUAUGCUACCUAAUCUUAGUAAUGGGUUUUAUCUAGUAAGAUGAAAAUUCAACAACUCAUUUUCAUAGCAACAUUUUAACCGAUUAAGAUAAGAUAAGUUACCUACAAAAAAAAAUGUUUCCCAAAUAAAACGUACACUUUGGCUUUUACCAUAUACCAAAAAAAAUUAAUCCACUUAUAAAUUCCGCAACUAUUCCCUCCACCAAUACCUUUUUAAAAAUUAAAUUAAACUUCUUCAAUUACAAAUAUCUAAUUAAAAAAAUAUAUUGUAUCGUAUUGAUAAUCGCUGGGUUUCUCUUACCAUGAGACAAGGCCGAUGUAACAGCCCGGAAAUCCGAACCGCUACCGACACUAGGAUCCAGAUCUGCUUAAGGCCGCUGGGACCCGUAGUAAGCCAAACAGACAUCCUCCCUCAUGGUCUAACCCCAUACAUGAUCAACCUUUUCUUGAAAACCUUAACAUUUCCAUAUCCCAGGCUUACCCUGAAUAUGGUCUGAAACUAAAAACUUUUCUUUUCUCUCUACCAAGCUUAACUCGUGCAUGCACUUCCUCAUAACUUAUCCCCAUUCUGGAGCCCAUAAAGGCUGCUCCAAUGGAGAAACAUUAAGCUUGGCCAACAUGAAAAUAUCUUGAAAACAUUUCAUACAAUAUGAAAACGUUUAUCUUAAAAACUCAUGAUCAUGUACAACAAAAAGGGAUUAACCAACACUAGGCAAAGCACAACUCUAUACCUUAUCUCACAUACUUUACUUUUCUUAACUUUACUCUAUCUCUUAAUAACAUUAUUCUUUCCAUUCAUAUCCUUUAUAUACAUCAUGUCCAUUACUAUACUAUUCAAGCAUCUCUUAUACAUAACCAUACCACUAUAACAAAACUAAGCUAUGCUAUUACAACCAAACAUGGCAACCCAUGCUUGAACUCUGCUUUCCCCAUAGCUCACUUUGACUGAACUCUGGCCCUGCAAAACUGGGGUUAAGGGAAUGGGGUGAGCUACUAGAGCCCAGUGAGUAGAAACCAUGAAAACAAAACAAUUCAUUCAUUCAUUUCAUGCUUUCAUGAUAUGAGUCACAGCACAAACAUUUCACAUCUCGGAUUAGACAUGACCCCAGGACUCCCUUUGUCGGUGCCCGGCCCCUAAAGGAGCUCUCACAGGUCACUACAUGCUCUAGUGCCCGGCCCCCUUCUAUGAAGCUCACACAGGUCUUAUCUAGGCAUAACAGGUCGCGGGCUACUGAAGUCGCCUUGGUCCAAUCCACAUCAACAAUAAGUAAUGCAAUGCAACAUAUUCGUGAUCUCUAAUGCGAUGCAACUUAGUAUCACAUGGCAUUCAUGAUGCGUGUCUCAUGCUCAUACUGUCAUUUCCUUUAAACAUUAACUUUAAAACAUGCAUAGUUAGUUCUACUCACCUGAAGCAACUGCUCGACUAACACUGGGCCGACUAACAUUGGCGCUAAACACCUCGCCUCAGGUCCGAUCCUACACAGGUGGACUCACAUGAGGUGCCAAACAACUCUAGCAUAGCUAUAAAACAUCUCCGCAAAGAAACUCCUAAAACAUCCUCAAAACAUGCAUAGAACAUACCCCUGAAAGGGCUGGACAGGGCACUUUCGGCGGCACAUUCGGCGGCCGAAGGUCCCUUCCAGAGCCGAAAGCCAUGUAGGUUCGGGGGCACUUUCGGCUGCCGAACCCUUACUCCAGAUCCGAAAGUCAGGCACUUUCGGCGGCCGAACAUUACCUUCGGCGGCCGAAAGUCUGCUACAGACCCGGAACACAACUUUCGGGGGCAAGGUUAGGCGGCCAAACCAUGCAUCCAUAGGUAGGUUCGGGGGCCGAAACUACCUUCAGCGGCCGAACCUGAGUUCAUCAGAACUCAGCCUCUCGUGCACAUCAGCCUCCCAACCUCCCAAAACAAACCCCAAACCUCACAUACUCUCUCCCAAGCAUGCAUACACACUCUCACAAGCAUAGAGAGCAAAGAAACUAGCUUAAACCUUCCAACACAACAUCACAUAAAUAAAGGGCAUAAACCCACACAAACCUUAACAUGCAUAUCUACCCAUUCUCCAACAUUAAAACUUUAUAAAACUUACUUAAAACUCAUUAAAUCAUAAAGGAAAGCCAAGAUCUACACUUACCUCUUGAAGAUCGAGGGUUGCGUGAUCUCUAACUCAGAGGUGUGGAGAAUCCGAGCUCCAAAAGCCUCUAAGCUCCAAAACUUGAACUUUAAGCUCAAAACUUCAAAACCCAAACUAAAACUUGUUAAACCUUGAAAGAUUUGAAGAAAUCACUUAAAAUGAACCAAAGGAGGACAUGAACACACCUGAGCUCGAGAAUGGGGAGAAAACUCGCCCAUUUUUGGUCUGAGGGCCUUUUAUAGGCGGCCUGCCCGACCACCUUCGGCAGCCUAACAUGCCUCCUAAACUCAUGCAUGUUCGGCGGCCGAACCUGGUUUCUGCCCUCAACACUUUCGGAAGCCUAAGGCACUCCCGAAACAGCUCCAUGUUCGGUGGCCGAACUUCAUUUUCGGCGGCCGAACCUGGCAAAUGCCUCCUUGGCCUACUCUUUUCAAAACUCCAUUUCUUUUCAUUUAAAAUCAUAACAUCAUGAGAAAACAUUUCUGAAAACACAUUUUAUCCCUCUAGAAGCCUCUGGCAUCGUCAGAAUUCCAGAUUCCAACGGAGAUUCCGCCGGAAGGUAGGGAUUCUGAUGCCGGAAUCUAGCCGGGUAUUACAUUCUUCCCCCCUUACAGAACAUUCGUCCCUGAAUGUUCAAACAAACACACAAACAAACAAACAAAACCUCAAACUUGCGCCUGAACGCCACAAGCUUCUGCUGCGCUACUCUGAUUCUUCUCUUCUUCCUCCUUCUCUACUCUUACUCUUCUCUUCUAUACUUUUACCCUCUACUCUUCCUCUCUAAGCUUCACAACCUGAACUCGAAUUUCAGAUUUAGGAAAACAACAGACUUCUGCUAGCUGCUCCCAUAGAUCAUCAAUCCAAGGUAGGGGUUACCUGCUCCUGGUAGUAACCCUGCACAACUGCUUACAGUCGCUACAAAGGCUCAAGGAUCCAUCCUUCCUUUCCCGCACAAUACUGGAGCGUCCCAGGGUGAGGUACUGGGUCAGAUAAAACCCUUGUCUACCAAGCACUCCACUACUCCUACACUCCUCCUAUAACUCUCACAACUCUGCAGGUGCCAUCCCGUAAGGAAAGAGAGAAAUGGUUCUGGUACCAAGUACCACCUCUAAACCAAUCUCUACCUCCCUGACCGUUGACCAACCUGACACUAGCCUGGAACCUCUAAACACUCGCUCUAUCUAUGGCACUAGGGCUGGUUCCCAGACCUGCCUGCUAAUCUUUCAACCUGAACAAGAACCCUCUGACAACCACUCCUAUACACCCUACGAGCCUAACGGGCUGAUAUCCAACUUCUAGGCAUCCUACUCGGUCCUCUCCAAAAACUAACUAUGACCAUUCUGCACUCCGAUUCUGGCUACCUUGCACUGCAGACUCAGGUAGCACCAGCACCACAAGUAGAAAAACCAAUCCAUCCCCCAAAUGACAUCUAGACAAACAAGUCUCGGACCUCAAAAUCUGGUGGAAGGCAUCUACCCUCGUCUGAUACUGGACUGAACCGGCAGACUGACUCCGCCAUAGAUGGAUCACACUUAGAUUCAAGAGAACUCUCUACACCCAGAAGCUAUCAACUCAACCUUUCAAAGGCUCUUAGAGCAACAAUAGAAGAAGAAACACACCAAGGUUCACAACAACAACACAUCAGGACAUGCAAAAGUGAGCGUACUUGGCAUCAUUGUGUUCGAUGUGUCUGCUCCCCUUCCUUGAUCACCGGCCUGAGCCACAUUACGUGGAGCUAACCGCUGGGACCAUACCAUCCUGGGCGCAGUAGGACACUCACGUGCUAUGUGUCCUUCCUGUCCGCACCUGAAACAUGCCGUAGUCCCCGCCAGACAGACUCCUUUGUGUGGCCUCCCACACCUCAAACAUCUUGUAGUGCCUCGGCCAGAACUCGAGCCACCUUCAACAUCUAGCCUAAACCUCUUCCACAACCUACCCUUCCUAGUCCUACCCCAUUGCCUAGGGGUUCUUCUCCACCUUCUACCUCUCUUGGUAGUUGUACUCAGAAUGGAGGGAUCAACUUCUCCUGAACUUGAACUCUUAGAAUCCUUAGACUUUUCCAUACUUUCUUCAUCCAUACUCACUUGCAGACCUACAUCCCUCCUCUGCACCAUUCCUUCUCUGCCGACCUCCACAAACCUUCCAGGGUUCCUUUAGGAUUCUCCACUGCCAACUCUACCCGACUGCACCCCUGGCAGAUCAGGGGGAAAGGUAUUCGUACCUUCCCACUCAGACGGAUCUGAUUCCACAGAUCGACUAGCACCUUGCAUCUUCACUCUUCUGAAAACACAACAAGCGCACACAAGCAAACAUCAGCAUCACAUCACAUCAGGUGGUCCAUGUAGAAAUACAUGAACCCACAACACACAUAACAUCUUAUCAUAUAGGUCAUGUGACAAACACGUGAACCCACAUGCAAGAUAUAUCAUGAAUGAACCUGUCACCUACAGCCUACAAUAUAGCAGAACAUGCCAUGACCAAUUAUGCCAAGGGCCAUUCCUGGUCGCUCAGCUCAUCUCAUAUCAGUACAUAUCAUGCCAUCUUGCAGCUAAGGGACUAUCAACAUCCAUAAUACAAACAUAAAUGCACAUGCAUCACACAUGGCAUUACACAUCAUCAAGCAAGAUAGGACUCCUCAUCCUAUCCUAGUGGACAUGAUCUUGAUCUUUCUUAGUGUGCUUGCCCUACUAAAACGUCUACCACAACCUCUUUCCGAUGUGGGAUACCUCCAUCCCUGAGCGUCCUCGCUCAACACACCGUACUCUCGAGGCCCUAUGCUCUGAUACCAACUGUAACAGCCCGGAAAUCCGAACCGCCACCGGCACUAGGAUCCAGAUCGGCUUAAGGCCGCCGGGACCUGUAGUAAGCCAAACAGACAUCCUCCCUCAUGGUCUAACCCCAUACAUGAUCAACCUUUUCUUGAAAACCUUAACAUUUCCAUAUCCCAAGUUUACCCUGAGUAUGGUCUGAAACUGAAAACUUUUCUUUUCUCUCUACCAAGCUUAACUCGUGCAUGCACUUCCUCAUAACUUAUCCCCACUCUGGAGCCCAUAAAGGCUGCUCCAAUGGAGAAACAUUAAGCUUGGCCAACAUGAAAACAUCUUGAAAACAUUUCAUACAAUAUGAAAACGUUUAUCUUAAAAACUCAUGAUCAUGUACAACAAAAAGGGAUUAACCAACACUAGGCAAAGCAUAACUCUAUACCUUAUCUCACAUACUUUAAUUUUCUUAACUUUACUCUAUCUCUUAAUAACAUUAUUCUUUCCAUUCAUAUCCUUUAUAUACAUCAUGUCCAUUACUAUACUAUUCAAGCAUCUCUUAUACAUAACCAUACCACUAUAACAAAACUAAGCUAUGCUAUUACAACCAAACAUGGCAACCCAUGCUUGAACUCUGCUUUCCCCAUAGCUCACUCUGACUGAACUCUAGCCCUGCAAAACUGGGGUUAAGGGAAUGGGGUGAGCUACUAGAGCCCAGUGAGUAGAAACCAUGAAAACAAAACAAUUCAUUCAUUCAUUUCAUGCUUAAAUGAUAUGAGUCACAGCACAAACAUUUCACAUCUCAGAUUAGACAUGACCCUAGGACUCCCUCUGUCGGUGCCCGGCCCCUAAAGGAGCUCUCACAGGUCACUACAUGCUCUAGUGCCCGGCCCCCUUCUAUGGAGCUCACACAGGUCUUAUCUAGGCAUAACAGGUCGCGGGCUACUGAAGUCGCCUUGGUCCAAUCCACAUCAACAAUAAGUAAUGCAAUGCAACAUAUUCGUGAUCUCUAAUGCGAUGCAACCUAGUAUCACAUGGCAUUCAUGAUGCAUGUCUCAUGCUCAUACUGUCAUUUCCUUUAAACAUUAACUUUAAAACAUGCAUAGUUAGUUCUACUCACCUGAAGCAAUUGCUCGACUAACACUGGCGCUAAACACCUCGCCUCAGGUCCGAUCCUACACAGGUGGACUCACAUGAGGUGCCAAACAACUUUAGCAUAGCUAUAAAACAUCUCCCCAAAAAAACCCUUAAAACAUCCUCAAAACAUGCAUAGAACAUACCCCUGAAAGGGCUGGACAGGACACUUUCGGCGGCACAUUCGGCGGCCGAAGGUCCCUUCCAGAGCCGAAAGCCAUGUAGGUUCGGGGGCACUUUCGGCGGCCGAACCCUUACUCCAGAUCCGAAAGUUAGGCACUUUCGGCGGCCGAACAUUACCUUCGGCAGCCGAAAGUCUGCUACAGACCCGGAACACAACUUUCGGGGGCAAGGUUAGGCGGCCAAACCAUGCAUCCAUAGGUAGGUUCGGGGGCCGAAACUACCUUCGGCGGCCGAACCUGAGUUCAUCAGAACUCAGCCUCUCGUGCACAUCAGCCUCCCAACCUCCCAAAACAAACCCCAAACCUCACAUACUCUCUCCCAAGCAUGCAUACACACUCCCACAGGCAUAGAGAGCAAAGAAACUAGCUUAAACCUUCCAACACAACAUCACAUAAACAAACAUUGGGCAUAAACCCACACAAACCUUAACAUGCAUAUCUACCCAUUCUCCAACAUUAAAACUUUAUAAAACUUACUUAAAACUCAUUAAAUCAUAAAGGAAAGCCAAGAUCUACACUUACCUUUUGAAGAUCGAGGGUUGCAUGAUCUCUAACUCGGAGGUGUGGAGAAUCCGAGCUCCAAAAGCCUCCAAGCUCCAAAACUUGAACUUUAAGCUCAAAACUUCAAAACCCAAACUAAAACUUGUUAAACCUUGAAAGAUUUGAAGAAAUCACUUAAAAUGAACCAAAGGAGGACAUGAAAACACCUGAGCUCGAGAAUGGGGAGAAAACUCGCCCAUUUUCGGUCUGAGGGCCUUUUAUAGGCGGUCUGCCCGACCACCUUCGGCAGCCUAACGUGCCUCCUAAUCUCAUGCAUGUUCGGUGGCCGAACUUGAGGUUCGGCGGCCAAACCUGGUUUCUGCCCUCAACACUUUCGGAAGCCUAAGGCACUCCCGAAAUAGCUCCAUGUUCGGCGGCCGAACUUCAUUUUCGGCGGCCGAACUUCAUUUUCGGCGGCCGAACCUGGCAAAUGCCUCCUUGGCCUACUCUUUUCAAAACUCCAUUUCUUUUCAUUUAAAAUCAUAACAUCAUGAGAAAACAUUUCUGAAAACACAUUUUAUCCCUCUAGAAGCCUCUGGCAUCGUCAGAAUUUCAGAUUCCAACGGAGAUUCCGCCGGAAGGUAGGGAUUCCGAUGCUGGAAUCUAGCCGGGUAUUACAGCCGAGUCUUAGAGAAGGAUAUGGGUCCAAAACCUAUCAGACCACACACAAGUAAGGCGGCCCAACAUCGCGCGACCCAAACCUGUGACGUGAAGUGGACUGGAUUAAACACACACACGGGCCUACCUAAAGAACGCUUAGCCCGGUGACGUGACAGAAGGUAAGAGAAGUGAGUCCAGUUACCUCGCAACCCUGUCAACAUGUGCACCGAGAAGAAUUAAAUGGUCGUCUAACAUGGAUGGAGUAGUCUACGUAUAGAUCUGAGUAAUAGAAACAAGUGGUAUUAUAGAAGGAUAACAGAUAUAUGUUACUAACAGAUAAAAGGAAAAGAAAUAAAAUGAAAAGAGAUAAAAUGGAAGGGAGGUGAUCUUUCCUAACCAAGUUUACACAAAAUCUUAUUUUCUGAUUUUCAUAACAUCAUGUAUUAUUAUGUUUAAUAUUUAUUAAAACUAUAUUAACAAUGAUAAUAACAGUUAAUUGUUGCAGUAAUAAUAUUUAAUCAAAGGUUACAACUCUCCGGAUCAUAAAAUAAUAGUGUUUUAAUUGAAUUAAAAUAUUAAAUACUAUUUUAAAAAUAAUUGCUAAAUAUAAUCUAAUAAAAUUAAUCUCUCUAAAAAUCAAAUAUCAUUAGUCUCUUUUCUCUGGAUUAGAGAUAUCGAGUUUAAAUUUGAAAUAUGAGAUCUUUGAAAAUGUUUUGUUUGUUUCGUACAAAUUUGCGGAUUAAUGGAGUUAAUGAGUUUUAAAUAUUAAAUAUAUAAAAAAAAAUAAUUUUUUUGUAAAACUUACACUUUACUGCGAUUAAAUAUGGCAACUACUUAUGCCAAAAUCUACCAUUCAAACAAGCAAUACAGCAUCCAAAUUUUGUUAUAUUAUAUAUCAUCUUGAUUUUUAAAUAUAUUAAUUUAUUGUUUUAACAUUAUGUAUAAAAUAAUAUUAAACAAGUAUUUUUGAAAUCUAGAUGUGUUGUAACGUCAUUCUUAACCCAGUUGACUUUGAUAGAACCAUACAAUUGGAAGGCUUUUUUUUUUAAAAAAAAAAAUUAAAGAAAAAGAAUAAUUUAUAAUCCUCCCUGCCUAUUGAUAUGUGUGGUGAUCAAGUUAACCAUGAUUAUACCAAAAAUCAGCAACAUCUAAUUGGGUCCCACUUUAAUUCUGUGCACCUAAUCAUAUGAUAAUAUUCUUUUUCUUUUCUUUUUUUUUUUUACAAAAAAGAAAAACACACAUUAAUCCCAUAUCAUAUCAUAACAUAAUAGCAUAUCCCUCCAUAUUCUAACCUUGAAACAUCUAUCGACCGCUGGAGUUGUCCUAAAGUGAAGAUUCUCAUUCCUUUUAACCAGAUUUUAAGGUACUUUAAAGAAAAAAAAAAUCAACAAUUAUUUAAGCAGAAAUCAAAAAGGCAGAAACUUUUUAAGUAUUGUGUAAUUUGCUUGUAGAGAGUGAGUGAGUGAGUUAGCUUUUGAUAGCAGUCGAAAACGACACAGCAAUCAUAUUAUGCAUUUUCUUCUAUAAGGUUGGCUGCCGAGGCCUAAUCUCAUACACAACAACGCAAACACAAAAUGUUGUGUAGAAAGAAUUUCAGUUCUGUUGAUGAUAAUGGAGGAUCUGUGCCUGUGCACCUCAAUGUUUAUGAUCUCACUUCCAUCAAUGGCUACGCUUACUGGCUUGGCCUUGGAGUUUAUCAUUCUGGCGUUCAAGGUUCUUGAGCUUUCUCCUUUUGUUAAUAUAUUUUUGGAUUCUUUUUGUGUUUAUUGACUGCUAGUUAGAUCUGUUCUUGGAUGUUGAUGGAGCUAACUUAUUGUUUGGUUAAUGGGAAUGUGCAAGAAAAAGAGAAAAAAUUUUGGAUUCAGAUGUUUCUUUCUUUCUUUCUUUUGAAAAAAAAAAAAAAUCCUGUUCUGGGGUUCAUGAGACAUUAAAACUGCAUUGAAACUUUUAGCAGAAUCAGAUUCUUCGCUCUGGAAACACAAAAUCUUUCAGAGAACUGUAUACAAUGCUGUUUCUCUCUUUUUCCUUUUCUUUCUUAGCAUUUCUUUUGGAUAAUGAAUAUGCAGUUCAUGGCGUUGAGUAUGCAUUUGGGGCUCACGAGUAUCCAACAACAGGAAUUUUCGAAGGAGAACCAAAACAGUGCGAUGGAUUUACAUAUAGAAAGACAAUUUUGAUUGGAAAAACAGAAAUGGGGCCUGAAGAGGUAAGGGCUGUAAUGGAGGAACUUGCAGAAGAAUACAGAGGAAAUGCUUAUAAUUUGAUCACCAAGAACUGCAACCAUUUCUGCAAUGAUGCUUGCGUUAGACUCACUGGCAAUCCAAUCCCCAGCUGGGUCAAUCGCCUUGCAAGAAUUGGUGAGAGAUUGAUCUCCUUAUUCUUCUAAAUGCAAUUGAUUCAUCUAAACACAAAUGGGUUCAUGGGUUUUAUUUUUUACUUUCUGUAUUUUUUUUUUCAGGUUUUCUGUGCAAUUGUGUUCUUCCUGCAAAUGUAAAUUCAACUAAAGUUAGGCAUCUGAAAAUGGAAGAGAAAGUUGAUGAAACAGAGAAUGAAAAAUUAACAAGUGGAUCUAACAGAUUUGCAUCAGCUUCUAUUUCUUCUUCUUCUUCGUCUUCUUCUUCUUCUUCAUCAUCUCCUUCUGCAAAUCAAAUCCGAGGUAGAAGUAGAAGCAGACGCGCUCUUCCACCAUCUUCUCCUUUGCUUUCUUUAUCACCUUCAUGAUAAAAAAAUUUGAAGAUUUGAUUUUCCUUUUUCUUUCUGUUUAUUGAAAUUUUCCAAGUAAAUGAAGAGGGAAAAAAAAAAUAUUUAUAAUUUCUUUAAUUUUUCUUUGUUGGGUUCACCAUUUUCUUGGGAUAUUAUUUUGCUAACAUUUUCCUGAGUUAUGCAGGCAAGCAGCACAAACAUGUGUAUACACAUUAAUCCCAUAUCCCAGUAGUUUUCUUUAAUUUUACCUUUUAAAUGUUUCAGAUUUAGAACUUUUCAAAUCUUGCAAAGUCGGGAAGGAAAAGGUAAAAAAAGAAAAGAAAAGAAAAGAAAAGAAAAGAAAAGGAGGAGAAAGCAGAGAAAAUGUGCUUUAUUCUUUGGUUUCUCUUGCUAUGGAAUUGAAUAAUAAGAUGCCUCACUGUCCACCAUUUUUACUUUUAGUCUCAAAUGGUUCCACAGCAUAAAGAAGGGAAUAGCUUCUCAUAUUAUUUUAAUGAAGGUUUUUUUUUUUUUUUUUUUUUUUUNUUUUUUGAGAUUUAAUAUGCUUCAUAUUUCUUAAGUUGGUGCAUACUUGUUUUCUUUCAAAGUUUAAAAGAAAAUGUAAAAAAUUAUUAAAAAAGUAAAAACAAAUGUCAAAACAAGGUCUCUAUCAAUUACCAACUCUUUAAUUCUUUCUCUCUUCUUUUCUCUCUCUUUUCGGGUGCAAAAUAGUUAAUCGUUAAAAUUUUUUUAUGUAUAAAGUACUUUUCAAUAUCUAAAUUCAUUCAUUAUUCAACAUUUUCAAAUAAAUAUAACAAUAAAAAUUGAAUUAGAAAUGUUUAGUAUGAUUUUUUUUUUAUUUUUAGUAUUAGUUUUCAUUUUUCAUUUUUUUUAAAAAAAAACUUUCCUUUGUUAAACAAGCAGAAUGAAAUAAAAUACAUUUUAUUUUAUUUUAAAAAAAUUUAUAAUUUAAUCCUUGAAUAUUACAAUUAUUAAUAAGUUAGUCCCUACAUUUUUAAAAACUUAUUAAAACGUUCUUAUUUUUUCUUUCUGUGAACGAAAUAAUCUUCCAAUCCUUUUUUUCGUUAAAAAUAGAUAAAAGAUGAGAGAGAAAAUUUUUAAAAUUUAAUUUUACCCUAAAAUAAAAACCCUUAUUUAGUUAUUGGAUAUUGUUAUUAUUAACAAAUUAAUUUCUAUAUUUUCAGAAAUCUAUUAAAAUAUUCUUAUCUUUUCUUAUAUCUAUUAAAAUAUCCUAAUUUUUUCUUAUAUCUAUUAAAAUGUCUUUAUUAUUUUUUUUUUGUCAACGUAAUAGUCUCUUCUCCUUCUCGUCCUACUUAAAAAAGAAGAAAAAGAAGAUGAUGACGACGAAAGAGAAGAAGAAAAAGAAAAAGAAGAAAAAGAAGAAUAUUCUUCUCCGCCUCAAAAAAAAAAAAGAAUAAAAGGAAAAAUAAAAAAAAAUCAAAGAAGAAGAAAAAGAAUCUCCUCCUCCUUAUAAAAGAAGAAUAAAAAGAAAAAUAAAUAAAAAAUCAAAGAAAAAGAAGAACCAAAGAAGAAGAAGAGGAAGAAUCAAUGAAGAAAGAGAUGAAAAAAAUGGGUAAUUUAGUAUUUUAUUAUAUUUUUAACGGUAAAACUAGAUAGAAAGACUAUAUUGUUGACGGAGGGAAAAAAUAAUGACAUGAUUUUGAAAAUGGAUGAAUUGACUUGUUAAUAAUGGUAAUACCAAAAACUAAAUUAUAAAUCUCCUUUUAUUUUAUUAUAAUACCAAAAUAUAAAAAUAUCUUAUCCAUAUAAAUUUCUUCGCAAAUAUCUAAAACAAAACAUAAAAUGGAUAGCAGAAUUAAAAAUUUGAUUUAUGUUGUUAGUUAAGCUUCUUAUCUUACAAUUAUGAACAUCUCUCCUCCCAAAACCUUCAACUUAAAACACACAUUUCUCCUUUUCAUUAUCCAGACUCUCUCUUACAACCACUUUUCUUUUGUCUUAAUCUCCUUCAAUAGAGUUGGAGUAUCCCUUCCAUGGGGUUUUGUUUAGUUUUCUUUAAUUUCUUUCCUAAAAUGAUGUCCUUUGAAGUCUUUAAGCUGCUAAGGGCCGGCAGUAAUAAAGAUAACUGUUAAAAUUAAUUGAAAAAUUAAUUAAUAAAUUUUUAAAACGUUUUAAUAUAUUUUAAAAAAGAAUGACUUUUUAAUUUCUAUACAAUAAUAAUAAUAAUAAUCUGAACAAAGAAAAAUUUCUAGUAAAAAUAAAACUACUAAUUUUAAUAUUAAAAAAACCCAAAAAUCAUUCCAAAUAUCUAUCAUCAUUCUUAAGAUUUACAUUUCAUAUGUUUUAAUAUUUUUCUAAAUUUAUAUACCAUAUUUUUAAUAUUUAUUGCACAAAAAUAAUAAUUUUAAAAAUAAAAAUUUCCGGGCACGUAUAUUCUUCAAUGAUAUAGAGAAAGUACUCAACCACAAUCCCAGGCUAUUUAAGAUGGCCCACUCCACAUAAAAUCAACCCAAAAUCAUAGCCAACUCAACCCAAAAUCAGCUCAAAUUCACUCUAGUAGCUAGUUCACUUGGCGAGUAAUCAUAAUAUCAAUGAGGAAAGCUGCAUCAACAAUUUCCACUCUCAUAGUAAAUCAAUGACAUUUGUGGAGAGUAAUUAUAGCAUCAAUGAUGAAAGCUGCAACAACAAUGUCAAGGUAAGAAAUUUCCACUCUCUGAAAGAGUUUAAUGUUUGUAAAAGGAGAAAAUUAAAUUUAACAUGGGAAAAUAAAACAUGCUGCUGGAGUUUUUUUUAUGUGUGUAGUUUCAACAGUCCUGCAAGCAGAUCACAUUUUUGUUAAACAACAAAUUACAGGUGAAAAGGCGUAAAAAAUGAAUACAAAUUGGAAAACAUUAAAUGGGAUUUCUGUAGUACCUACUUCAAUAAAAACGAUGGUUUUACAGUAGAGGAUUUGAGUAGACCUAAGGAUAGUAGGUUUUAAGUCCUUUUCUCUUGCAUCCAUUCUACAAAAUUAUCCAGGAUCAAAGGCCAUGCAAGUGCUGGAUCAUAAUUACUGAGAUCUGGAAAGCUUAUCUGUCACAAGAAAGUGUGUCAACAAAGGCAAUGAUAAGAUCAGGGUAAGAAGCCAAGAUUGCUAUAGGAUGCGGCUGCUAUGCGAAAGCAAAAGGCGAUGAACACUUGAAUAGCAAUUGUAUGUACACCAUAAAAAUCGUUCUCUUCAAUCUCCUCUGUGAUGAAGAAAUUAAAACAAUCAAGUAAAUAAUAGAAAGUACCUCGGUGCAAAAAUGAUAAAAGCCCAUCCAUUGAUCCAUGUUUAUGACCUUGUAAUCACUCUGAAUCUGCAUUCAUGAAAAAGCAUGACGAAAUAAUUAUCAUUUUAAAUUGAAGUAGGGCAUCAUAAAGAAAGAAAAUUCACAGAAAUAUAAAUGGUUUGUCAAUCUUUAUUCAGCCCAUUAAGUUGUCUAGAUCACCUAGCACAUCAAACUACAGAACUCCAAAAAAGCAAAACAUUUGACAUAUCAAAAUUGGCCAUAGAAAACAUGGACAGCAGACACAGGGCGCCUUCACCGGGUAAGCUAAUUGACAAUAGAGUAUCUGAAAUUGUCAGACCUUUACAGUCCUCAAAAUUAAAAUAGAUAAAGAAUAAUAAGAGAUGGCAUGGUAUCAACUGAUAGUUAAAAGUAUGUACAGCAUCAAACUUGGAAGACAACUCACCUUUAGGUACUCAAUGAAAUAAUCAACUUGGGCUCGGAAGUGAGAUCCUAAAACAAGAUCCAGUAACUGGCAGAUGCUCUCUAUGUCUAUACUCUUCUGUUUCUCCUCUGAGUGAAGAACAUAAAUUUGGGUCGGAACAAACAAGAAAUAAUAGUUUAAAAGAAUUGAAAGGAACAGAGAUAAAGGCUGGAACACAGAUUACAUUAUGUUUCUAAAUGCCUAAAACACACUACCUGUUAAGCAAUACCGGAAUGAAUAGGCAUAGAAAUCCACAAAGUUUGAUGGCCUCUUCACCUUUUGAAGAUAAGAACACACCAGCUUUUAUUAACUCAUUCACAGUAUAUAUAGAUAAACAUAAAUGAAACAUGUCAAAAAACUGAAGUGAGUUCCAAAGGGGGAAAGUCAUAGGGGAAGUCAUAGUAUACCUCUUUCUCUAACUCUGGGAGGGCCUUCUUUAAUUUAUUUACAGUGUCAGCCCUCAGCGCUUUAAGACCUCUUCGCCACUCCUCCUAUCAAACAAUAAAAGUAGAGAGGGAGAGAGAGAAAGAAAGAGAGAGAGAAGGAUAAAUGCAUGAGCUACUUCUUUACUUACCAAGUAAACAAUGGACAUGCUCUGCAUGAUGGAACAUUGAUAGAUUGCAUAUAUUAUGCAUAUAUGUAUUAACAUUAGAUGUGAGUAUAUGUGCCAUGAACUGUUGGUUGAAUUAAAAAUAGAAGACAGUCAAUAUGCUCCAUCAAGCAAUAAGUGGUUAAUUGAACUGAGAAAUCAAAAUAUAAGCAGAUACAGAUUAAGUGUGUAUAUAUACAUAUAAUGCUGUAGAGAUGAAUGCAGAUGUCAGUGAUGUUCCUUACCAGCGUAAAGUAUCCCUGCUUUUCAGCUUUCAUUUUCCUAACAUUUAGAUAAUCCAUCAGUUACAGGACAUAUGAAUCACACUAGAAGUUAAUAAGUAGUUCACUGUCUGAUGUCUUCGAUUCAACUUACCAAGCUAGCAUCAAGAUCCUUACAUCAGUGUGAUCCACCUCCAUAUCUGAACAUAGGUUUUCAAUUCCUUCUGGGCUGUUUAAAGGAUAGGAUUAAUAACAUCAGAAUUCCAUUUACAAACCUUAAACCAUGCCUUUAUGAUAUCUAUAUAUAUAUAACUAAAUUCGAACAAAUUUCAAAUACAGAUAGUCAGCUACUUAGCCAGCACGACAUACCUUAAGAAUGACUACAAAUUUAAUUACUACUGAAGAGUUGCAUAGCAUUUCUUAUCUUUUCAGUGAUACCAUUCCUAUAGAUCCCUAGUUGGUGGACCACUAUCACAUUCUCAUGGUAGAUAGCAACUCUACUCACGUCAUUAUGUCAGUCCAACCAACAAUUAUUUAUUAUUAGCCGAAUUCCCAUGCUAUGCACGUAAUAACAUAUAUUCUUUUAUUUUAAAGAUUGAUAUUUUAUUUUUAUUUUUUUACUUGAAUUUAUAAAUUAUUACUAUUAUAUUAAUUUUUAUUUAGGACUUUUUCUCUUCAUUUUAAUUUAAAGAAUUUUCUCUUAUUAAUCUUCCAUUAAUUUGUAGCAUAAUCAAUUAAAAAUAUCUUAUUGAUUCUAUAUAUUAAUAUUUCUAUGUUCAUAAUAUAGUAAAAUUAUUUUAUUCACUAAACUUGAUGGUGGUCUUUUAAACUAUUACUUAUAAGUUACGGCGUUGUAGGUGCUUUAUUAUGUGCUUUUAAAUGUAUGAUAAAUUAUAAUUUAACACUAAUUUAAUUAAUAUCUAAUUAAUUUUAAAAUAAAAACUAUUAUUUUUAUUUAAUAAAUAUAAUAAUUAGUCGGUUUAUAUUUUGAAAUGUUACAAUUUAACCAUAUGCACAUAGAAAUAAAUGGUCUUAGAUACACCAAAACAAGUUUACAAUAAAUGUAGUUCGCCACAAUUACAUUAUUCUUUAAAUAUUAAUAUUCAUGAAGGUUACCACAAUUAUUAUUAUGCUAUUAAAUUUUAAAAAAAUUAUUCUAACAUUAAUUUUCUCUAUUUCUCUAAAAAUUAAUGCUUUAACUAUAAAGUAUAUAGAGUAAUUGUUUGAAGUAAUUGAGUAGGAUUCUUAGCGAUUCACGAUGAUAUUACUAACUUAAAGUAUUCCCAUAAAUAAAAUACGAGUCAUAAUUAAAAUUAAAAGAAAGGCUAAUACAAUACUAUAUUUAUCCUGAUUACAAUUAUGAAAAAAAUAUCAUUUAAAAAAAAAGUUACUAUUUUAUCAUAAUUACAAUUACAUAACUAUUAGAACAAAAUUAGUCACAACUCAAUUAGCUAACUACAAUUAAAUCUAAAUUGCAUCUAGUGAAAAGCUUAUUGAAGGGCUGGAAAUUAUUCAAUUAAAUUAAUUAAUUUAUAAAUUUAAAUUAAGUUAUUUUAAGAAAAUUUAGUUUAUAAGAUUAUUAAUUUUUAUUGAUUAGUUUUUACUUUAUUAAUUUUGAAGAAAUUAAUAAUUUAAUUAAAUAAUUAUAUUAAAAUUAUAGGAUUUUUAAUUAUAAUUGGUAAUAAUAAUUUCAUUUAAUAUUUUAAGAUCAUAGCAAGUUAAUUACUCCUUCCGUCCCACAAUUUUUGUCCACUUUACUUUUACUUUUUCACAUAUAUUAAGAAUUUUUUUUAUUAACUUUUCAAUUAUAUCCAUUUUAAAGACAUUAAAUUUUAUUAAAUAUCAAGAGAUGUUUUCUUGAAAAUAAAAUAAAAUUAAAUAGACUUAUAAUAGUCAAUUUAUAUAUUAUUAUAGUGUAAAAAGAAAAUGAACAAUAAUUUUGGGACAACUAGAAAAAGAAAGGUGGAUAAAAAUUAUGGACGGAGGGAGUACUAAAACCAUGAGAAACGGAAUUGCUCCAUAAACAAUAAUGGAGAUGGGAAUUUUAAAUGGCUGAGGCCAUUAUAGUUUUUUUUUUCCAAAUUUAUUAUUUUUUUAAUACACUUUAAUUAAGAAAUCCUACAUGUCAAUCUAAAAAAUAAGACCUUCACAUGGCAAUUUUUUUAAUUUAGAAGAAGCUACAUGGCAGUUAUAGAAAAAACUUAGAAACUACAUGACAGUUAUAGUGCAUAUAGAUAGAUUUGGGGUUCACCCACUCAAAUCAGAAGAAUAAGUUUAUUUUAACUUUCUAUUAGUUGGGAGAAAAAAAAAAGAUAAAAAAAAGGAUAGUUUCUAGUAUGAUAAUGGGAAUUCUAGGAUUCUUCAUACAAAAUGGGGCAGAUGGUUCAAGAAAAUCUUUCAACUAUUCUAUCCUCAAUACUUUCACAAUAUCUGUGAGUUUCUCCAUUCAUUCCUUUUGUAGAAGUUCACCAGUAGGCAUCCUUUCAUAUCUUCUGUUUGAUUCUAAAUCCUCCUGAAAAUAUAGUUUCAACCAUCCAUUUCAUAUUUUUCCCAAUUUGUUUGGCUUCAAUCUUCAAUAUAAUGGUUAGAUCAAAAUAGGGGCAGGUGAUAAGGAUUAUUAAACCUUUUGGCUAUCUAUU
RNAcentral lists this long non-coding RNA (31228 nucleotides) under Manihot esculenta (cassava). RNAcentral's name for it is "long non-coding RNA (MESC_LNC002502)". The record is from RNAcentral. Lineage: Eukaryota; Viridiplantae; Streptophyta; Magnoliopsida; Malpighiales; Euphorbiaceae.